UUAAAAGCAAUGAAAAGAAGAGUAGGUAAAAUAGUUCAUUUUCAGAGAGCUCUGCAUGGUGAAAUGGAGCAAUGGAUUUUUAUUGAAGAAGGUCUUGGAGCUGCACACUGAGUCUACUUUGUAGAGGUAGGAUGUGACGGAAUACCCCGUUAUAGGUAUAGAGUAUCUCGUUUUUUGAUGUACUUGAAGAGGUGUAUACGGCAACGUAUGCAUAAACUGAGGUGGUACCACGAAUUUAUAACUUUCGUCCUCAAG
This 255-nucleotide non-coding RNA is filed under the name Clostridium neonatale. RNAcentral describes it as "T-box". It matches the Rfam family "T-box leader". Rfam says of the family: Uncharged tRNA acts as the effector for transcription antitermination of genes in the T-box leader family. T-boxes are found upstream of many aminoacyl-tRNA synthetase genes and some amino acid biosynthetic genes usually in Gram-positive bacteria. The anticodon of a specific tRNA base pairs to a specifier sequence within the T-box motif, and the NCCA acceptor tail of the tRNA base pairs to a conserved bulge in the T-box antiterminator hairpin. Lineage: Bacteria; Bacillati; Bacillota; Clostridia; Eubacteriales; Clostridiaceae. The record is from RNAcentral.